UCAUGGCCCUCUGAGUCCUAAUUGGAACUCUCUGUCCCAGCUGCUCCCUGGCCAGGCCCCCGAGACCUCAAUGAGGAAAGAUGCUCUUCCCUUCUCUGGCUGGCCUCACUGUUCUGAGGCCUGGCUAAUGGAGCCCGCUCUCCGCUCUGCACACAGAGGCAGGAAUGAGACCCGAAUCAGGCUGUCCACAACUGUCUCCCAGGCCACUGGACAUCAGAGGGCACAUGGUCGACUACCCUGGCGUCACCCAAAAGCCUGUGCACAGCCCAGCCCUCAGUGCAGGAAAGCCCCUGGAGUGGGCUCAGCUUCAGACUCUGAAUCAUACAUUCCACCCUGCCCGGCAGCUCCGUCACUGUCCCUUCCUCAAGCCACUUUGUAGAGAGAAUUCUGCUGCAGGAAGGCAUGUGUUUGCAAACUGCUUAAAGAUGAGACCUAGCACGCUUCUCUCUCCGAACAUAAAAUGGGAAGAGGAGUUUUGCUUUUACAAAAUCAAACAUGCCACUCACAACUGAACCCAGGGGGGAAAAAAAGUAUUUGCUUGUAAGCAGAAUGAGGAAAUGAGGCUGAGGCUAGCCCACGUUCAGAGAGGGCUUUUGGGACCAGCCUCUUCCUGCCCACAAAGAGUUAAAAAGCCUAAAUGAAAUUACAUUUUAGUUGGGUGGGGUGACUCACACCUGUGAUCCCACCACUGUGGAGCUGUGGAGGCAGGAGGAUUGCUACAAGUUCAGAGCCAACCUAGGUUACAUAGCAAAUGGAAGCCAACCUGGGCUAUAGUGGAAGACCUGGUCUCAAAAACAAACAGCAACAGAACAAAAGACCAUAAUUACUGGAUACUUCCUAGCCUUAUGAUAUUAUAAGAUGGUUUACUCUCUCCAUGCCUUUGCACGUGUAAAAUAGGAGUAAACACGCUGUUUGUUUAUCUGCUUUUAGAGUUUUGUAAGGUUUAAGGAAGCCCAUCCCCAGAAGGUGUUAUGCUGUGCAGGCAAUUCAACUGGGGCCUGCCCUUAGGGAUCUUCAGGGUCCAGGCAACGUCCUGUGUCAGUACCUGCAUCCUGUGAUGUCAUCUGGGCCGGGUACAUAGUGACCUGUCUGCCACUCCCCGAACUUUCUUACUCUCUUGCUUUUGAUCUCUCCCCCUCUCCUGCUCUCUCCCCUUUCUCUGUUGGGGCACCCCCUCCAAUAAACCUCAUUGGAUUUAA
Long non-coding RNA from Psammomys obesus (fat sand rat), 1199 nucleotides. RefSeq lists it as uncharacterized. The record is from RefSeq and is a predicted model, not a curated record. The transcript is spliced from 2 exons. NCBI's taxonomy places the organism in Eukaryota, Metazoa, Chordata, Mammalia, Rodentia, Muridae.